GGGACCUGACGAAUCUCACCGGAGCGGAGAGAGGUCCAGAUCCCUUCUCUACGAAGCUUGAUUUCCCUUCUCCGGCGAACGCUUAUUCUUGUGUCGGAUGAUAAUGCCACUCGUCACGGUGGUGGAAGUGGAGCCGCCGAGUCCGUGGCGGUAUUUGAUCGGAGCGGUGGUGAUGAUGAUCGGCGUCGUGUUGCCCGUCGGCUACAUGAUGUUUCGUAACCAGCGCGGUCCCCUCUCCUCUUCUUACUCUAAACAGACGUAGGAACAAAGUUUUGAUAUAGAAAGAGGUUUCAGUUGGGAAGAAGAUGAUAGAUGAAUGUGAACCGGGGGAUCUCCUUCAGAUUCACGAAACCACAUGUGAAUACUUUUUCUUAGUUCUCUCGUUCUUUUCCGCUUCGAUUAUAUAUUAUGACCGAAUACAUGUUGUUUAACAUGUACAAAGAUCGACUGCGUGUUGUUUUGCAUUUUGUUAGAACUGCAUGUUGUUUAACUCAUACAGCGGUAUACUGUGUGUUGUUUUUUCUUACGCUUGAAAAGCGUGUUGUUCGACUGAUUCCAUCGGAGACUACUUGCUAUUUUUUUAGCUGGAAAUGUAUGUCGUUUCGCUC
This is a long non-coding RNA of Tarenaya hassleriana, 608 nucleotides long. RefSeq lists it as uncharacterized. The record is from RefSeq and is a predicted model, not a curated record. NCBI's taxonomy places the organism in Eukaryota, Viridiplantae, Streptophyta, Magnoliopsida, Brassicales, Cleomaceae. The transcript is spliced from 3 exons.